UACGAGGGGGGCAAGUGUUGUUCGGAAUCACUGGGCGUAAAGGGAGCGUAGGCGGCUGUUUAAGUCGGGUGUUUAAAACCGGGGCCCAACCCCGGAGCGGCACCCGAAACUGGGCAUCUUGAAUAGGUCAGAGGCUGGUGGAAUUGGAGGUGCAGCGGUGGAAUGCGUAGAGAUCUCCAAGAACACCUAUUGCGAAGGCAGCCAGCUGGGACCAUAUUGACGCUGAGGCUCGAAAGCAUGGGGAGCAAACAGG
Molecule: ribosomal RNA, 253 nt
Filed under: uncultured bacterium
Lineage: Bacteria
Description: partial 16S ribosomal RNA
Rfam family: Bacterial small subunit ribosomal RNA
Source: RNAcentral